Molecule: transfer RNA, 119 nt
Filed under: Bremerella sp. P1
Lineage: Bacteria; Pseudomonadati; Planctomycetota; Planctomycetia; Pirellulales; Pirellulaceae
Description: tRNA-Gly
Source: RNAcentral
GGCGGCAUGCAGCGCACCGAACGCGCGGUAGCACUUCCAAUGCUGCGUGUUGCCGGUUGCGGCCCAACAGGCCUCGAAGUCGGGAAUGCGGGUGUACGAUUCCGGCUGCGCCGCCGCCA